RNAcentral lists this ribosomal RNA (1113 nucleotides) under Triticum aestivum (bread wheat). RNAcentral's name for it is "partial small subunit ribosomal RNA". The record is from RNAcentral. Lineage: Eukaryota; Viridiplantae; Streptophyta; Magnoliopsida; Poales; Poaceae.
AUGUCGGCGCCAUCGCAGCUAAGCAAGGACCCGCACAACGAUUACUUCGACUUUGGGGCAGCGCGGCAGGUGCCGGAAACCCACACGUGGGAGGGGCUGUACGAGCACCCGCUGGUGGACGGCGGCGUCGGGGCCGCGGAGGACGCCGUGCCGGUGGUGGAUUUGCGGGACCCACAUGCAGCCGAGGCGGUGGCGCGUGCGUCGGAGCAGUGGGGAACGUUCCUGCUCGAGGGCCACGGCAUUCCGAGCGAGCUGCUCGCGCGCGUCGAGGCCCGAAUUGCUAGCGUGUUCGCGUUGCCGGCGUCGGAGAAGAUGCGCGCCGCGCGGCAGGACGGCCAGUCCCACGGCUAUGGACUGCCACCCAUCGCCUCCUACUUCCCCAAGACCACGUGGUCUGAGGGCUACACCUUGUCCCCGGCCAACCUCCGAGCCGAGCUCCGCAAGAUCUGGCCCGACGCCGGCGGGGACUACCGCCACUUCUGUGACGUGAUGGAGGAGUUCCACAGGCAGAUGCUAGCGGUGGUUGACAAGCUGACGGUGUUGUUCCUCGCAGCGCUCGGGGUCGCCAGCGUCGAGGCGGGGCGCAAGAUCGUGGAGACCAUGUCCGAGACCGUGACCAUGCACAUCAACUGGUACCCCAAGUGCCCUGACCCGAAGCGAACACUGGGCCUGGCGAUUCACACGGACUCGGGGUUCUUCACGUUCCUGAUGCAGAGCCACGUUUCUGGGCUGCAGCUGUUCCGGCACGAGCCAGACAGGUGGGUUGGGGUGCCACCCGGGGCACUCAUCGUCAACAUCGGCGACCUCUUCCAGAUCCUCACCAACGGCCGCUUCCGCAGCACAUACCACCGCGCCGUCGUCAACCGCGAAAGCACCCGGGUGUCCGUGGCCUACCAUCUCGGCCCGCCCGCCGACGCCAAGGUAGCGCCCCUCAGGGAAGCCGUGGGCGGCGGCAAGCCCGCCUACCGCACCGUCACGUGGCGAGAGUACUUCCUUGUGCGCAAGGAGGCCUUCACCACCGGCGGCUCCGCGCUCCAGAUGGUCUCCCUCAGCCCGGGUGACCACGACGACGAUGGUGAUGGCGCCGACCAAAUAAGUGAAAUCUCUUCAUAG